RNAcentral lists this ribosomal RNA (497 nucleotides) under uncultured bacterium. Its description in RNAcentral is "partial 16S ribosomal RNA". It matches the Rfam family "Bacterial small subunit ribosomal RNA", at positions 28 to 507 of the family's 1533-position model. The record is from RNAcentral.
GAUGAACGCUGGCGGCGUGCCUAACACAUGCAAGUCGAGCGAACAGACGAGGAGCUUGCUCCUCUGACGUUAGCGGCGGACGGGUGAGUAACACGUGGAUAACCUACCUAUAAGACUGGGAUAACUUCGGGAAACCGGAGCUAAUACCGGAUAAUAUAUUGAACCGCAUGGUUCAAUAGUGAAAGACGGUUUUGCUGUCACUUAUAGAUGGAUCCGCGCCGCAUUAGCUAGUUGGUAAGGUAACGGCUUACCAAGGCAACGAUGCGUAGCCGACCUGAGAGGGUGAUCGGCCACACUGGAACUGAGACACGGUCCAGACUCCUACGGGAGGCAGCAGUAGGGAAUCUUCCGCAAUGGGCGAAAGCCUGACGGAGCAACGCCGUGUGAGUGAUGAAGGUCUUCGGAUCGUAAAACUCUGUUAUUAGGGAAGAACAAAUGUGUAAGUAACUAUGCACGUCUUGACGGUACCUAAUCAGAAAGCCACGGCUAACUACGUG